This 1373-nucleotide ribosomal RNA is filed under the name uncultured bacterium. Its description in RNAcentral is "16S ribosomal RNA". It matches the Rfam family "Bacterial small subunit ribosomal RNA". The record is from RNAcentral.
AGAGUUUGAUCCUGGCUCAGGAACAACGCUGGAUGCGUGCUUAACACAUGCAAGUCGAACGGUAAGGCCCCAGCUUGCUGGGGUACACGAGUGGCCAACGGGUGAGUUCACGUGGGUGACCUGGCCCGCACUUCGGGAUAAGCCUGGGAAACUGGGUCUAAUACCGGAUAGGACCGCACCGUGAGGGUGUGGUGGAAAGUUUUUCGGUGUGGGAUGGGCCCGCGGCCUAUCAGCUUGUUGGUGGGGUAAUGGCCUACCAAGGCGGCGACGGGUAGCCGGCCUGAGAGGGUGGACGGCCACAUUGGGACUGAGACACGGCCCAGACUCCUACGGGUAGGCAGCAGUGGGGAAUAUUGCACAAUGGGCGGAAGCCUGAUGCAGCGACGCCGCGUGGGGGAUGACGGCCUUCGGGUUGUAAACUCCUUUCACCAUCGACGAAGGUUUUCUGACGGUAGAUGGAGAAGAAGCACCGGCUAACUACGUGCCAGCAGCCGCGGUAAUACGUAGGGUGCGAGCGUCGUCCGGAAUUACUGGGCGUAAAGAGCUCGUAGGUGGUUUGUCGCGUCGUCUGUGAAAUUCCGGGGCUUAACUCCGGGCGUGCAGGCGAUACGGGCAUAACUUGAGUACUGUAGGGGAGACUGGAAUCCCUGAUGUAGCGGUGAAGGCGCAGAUAUCAGGACGAACACCGGUGGCGAGCCGGGUCUCUGGGCAGUAACUGACGCUGAGGAGCGAAAGCAUGGGUAGCGAACAGGAUUAGAUACACUGGUAGUCCGUGCCGUAAACGGUGGGCGCUAGGUGUAGGGGUCUUCCACGACUUCUGUGCCGUAGCUAACGCAUUAAGCGCCCCGCCUGGGGAGUACGGCCGCAAGGCUAAAACUCAAAGGAAUUGACGGGGGCCCGCACAAGCGGCGGAGCAUGUGGAUUAAUUCGAUGCAACGCGAAGAACCUUACCUGGGCUUGACAUAUACGGGACCGGGCCAGAGAUGGUCCUUCCCUUGUGGCUCGUAUACAGGUGGUGCAUGGUUGUCGUCAGCUCGUGUCGUGAGAUGUUGGGUUAAGUCCCGCAACGAGCGCAACCCUUGUCUUAUGUUGCCAGCACGUAAUGGUGGGGACUCGUGAGAAACUGCCGGGGUCAACUCGGAGGAAGGUGGGGAUGACGUCAAAUCAUCAUGCCCCUUAUGUCCAGGGCUUCACACAUGCUACAAUGGUCGGUACAGUGGGUUGCGAUGCCGUGAGGCGGAGCUAAUCCCUGAAAGCCGGUCUCAGUUCGGAUCGGGGUCUGCAACUCGACCCCGUGAAGUCGGAGUCGCUAGUAAUCGCAGAUCAGCAACGCUGCGGUGAAUACGUUCCCGGGCCCCUUGUACACACCGCCC